This 429-nucleotide ribosomal RNA is filed under the name Verrucomicrobiota bacterium. RNAcentral describes it as "Verrucomicrobia bacterium partial 16S ribosomal RNA". It matches the Rfam family "Bacterial small subunit ribosomal RNA", at positions 355 to 776 of the family's 1533-position model. The record is from RNAcentral. Lineage: Bacteria; Pseudomonadati; Verrucomicrobiota.
UAGGGAAUCUUCCGCAAUGGACGAAAGUCUGACGGAGCAACGCCGCGUGAGUGAAGAAGGAUUUCGGUUCGUAAAACUCUGUUGUUAGGGAAGAAAAAAUGUAUAGUAACUAUAUACAAAAGAGACGGUACCUAACCAGAAAGCCACGGCUAACUACGUGCCAGCAGCCGCGGUAAUACGUAGGUGGCAAGCGUUGUCCGGAAUUAUUGGGCGUAAAGCGCGCGCAGGUGGUUUAGAAAGUCUGAUGUGAAAGCCCACGGCUCAACCGUGGAGGGUCAUUGGAAACUAAUAAACUUGAGUGUCGGAGAGAAAAGUGGAAUUCCUAGUGUAGCGGUGAAAUGCGUAGAGAUUAGGAGGAACACCGGUGGCGAAAGCGGCUUUUUGGCCUGCAACUGACACUGAGGCGCGAAAGCGUGGGGAGCAAACAGG